AGUGAACGCUGGCGGUAGGCCUAACACAUGCAAGUCGAACGGCAGCACAGUAAGAGCUUGCUCUUACGGGUGGCGAGUGGCGGACGUGUGAGGAAUACAUCGGAAUCUACUUUUUCGUGGGGGAUCACGUAGGUAAACUUACUCUAAUACCGCAUACGACCUACGGGUGAAAGCAGUGGAUCUUCGGACCUUGCGCGAUUGAAUGAGCCGAUGUCGGAUUAGCUAGUUGGCGGGGUAAAGGCCCACCAAGGCGACGAUCCGUAGCUGGUCUGAGAGGAUGAUCAGCCACACUGGAACUGAGACACGGUCCAGACUCCUACGGGAGGCAGCAGUGGGGAAUAUUGGACAAAGGGCGCAAGCCUGAUCCAGCCAUACCGCGUGGGUGAAGAAGGCCUUCGGGUUGUAAAGCCCUUUUUCUGGGAAAGAAAAGCAGCAGGUUGAUACCCAGCUGUUCUGACGGUACCCAAAGAAUAAGCACCGGCUAACUUCGUG
Molecule: ribosomal RNA, 492 nt
Filed under: uncultured bacterium
Lineage: Bacteria
Description: partial 16S ribosomal RNA
Rfam family: Bacterial small subunit ribosomal RNA
Source: RNAcentral